Molecule: ribosomal RNA, 374 nt
Filed under: uncultured bacterium
Lineage: Bacteria
Description: bacterial SSU rRNA
Rfam family: Bacterial small subunit ribosomal RNA
Source: RNAcentral
UACGUAGGGUGCAAGCGUUAAUCGGAAUUACUGGGCGUAAAGCGUGCGCAGGCGGUUUUGUAAGACAGAGGUGAAAUCCCCGGGCUCAACCUGGGAACUGCCUUUGUGACUGCAAGGCUGGAGUGCGGCAGAGGGGGAUGGAAUUCCGCGUGUAGCAGUGAAAUGCGUAGAUAUGCGGAGGAACACCGAUGGCGAAGGCAAUCCCCUGGGCCUGCACUGACGCUCAUGCACGAAAGCGUGGGGAGCAAACAGGAUUAGAUACCCUGGUAGUCCACGCCCUAAACGAUGUCAACUGGUUGUUGGGGAUUAAUUUUCUCAGUAACGAAGCUAACGCGUGAAGUUGACCGCCUGGGGAGUACGGCCGCAAGGUUGAA